CCUACGGGGGGCAGCAGUCGAGAAUUUUUCUCAAUGGGGGAAACCCUGAAGGAGCGACGCCGCGUGGAGGAUGAAGGCUUUCGGGUUGUAAACUCCUGUCAUUUGGGAACUAGUACCAGAAGAGGAAGAGACGGCUAACUCUGUGCCAGCAGCCGCGGUAAUACAGAGGUCUCAAGCGUUGUUCGGAUUCAUUGGGCGUAAAGGGUGCGUAGGUGGCGCCGUAAGUCGGGUGUGAAAUUUCGGAGCGCAACUCCGAAACUGCAUUCGAUACUGCGGUGCUUGAGGACUGGAGAGGAGACUGGAAUUCAUGGUGUAGCAGUGAAAUGCGUAGAGAUCAUGAGGAAGACCAGUGGCGAAGGCGGGUCUCUGGACAGUCCUGACACUGAGGCACGAAGGCCAGGGGAGCAAACGGGAUUAGAUACCCCUGUAGUC
This 432-nucleotide ribosomal RNA is filed under the name uncultured bacterium. RNAcentral's name for it is "partial 16S ribosomal RNA". It matches the Rfam family "Bacterial small subunit ribosomal RNA", at positions 338 to 795 of the family's 1533-position model. The record is from RNAcentral.